This 365-nucleotide ribosomal RNA is filed under the name uncultured eukaryote. RNAcentral describes it as "partial 18S ribosomal RNA". It matches the Rfam family "Eukaryotic small subunit ribosomal RNA", at positions 592 to 976 of the family's 1831-position model. The record is from RNAcentral.
CAAUAGCGUAUAUUUAAGUUGUUGCAGUUAAAAAGCUCGUAGUCGGAUUUUGGCUGAGAACGAUCGGUCCGCCGUUAGGUGUGCACUGAUUGGUCUCAGCUUCCUGGUGAGGAGGUGUGCUUCACGGCCACUUAGUCACCGUGGUUACUUUGAAAAAAUUAGAGUGCUCAAAGCGGGCUUACGCUUGAAUAUAUUAGCAUGGAAUAACACCAUAGGACUCCUGUCCUAUUUCGUUAGUCACGGGACGGGAGUAAUGAUUAAGAGGAACAGUUGGGGGCAUUCGUAUUUCAUUGUCAGAGGUGAAAUUCUUGGAUUUAUGAAAGACGAACUUCUGCGAAAGCAUUUGCCAAGGAUGUUUUCAUUGA